GAAAGAAGGAUUCCUCCAAGAGAAAUCCAACCAUCUCUUCCAGUGUCCCUAAAGAACUUGUAGAUAUAGUAUGGAGAAAAAGCCUGGCAUACUCUUGUGUUCCAGUGAACAAUAUUGUAGGCACCAAUGAUGGCAAUAAACAGUAACCACAUAAUCACAAUGGGAGCAAACAUGAAUGCAACCCUGUGAGUGCCACGAUAUUGCAAAACAAAAAGGCCAAUCAGUACAAUGCAGGCAAUGAGAACCACCAUUCCUGUAGGUAUAUAUAAGUAUUAGCAACUUGAGUGAUAUGCACACAUUUAAGAUGGAAGAAGCCAAAAACAAAUGGCAAAUCACCCUUCCCUUUGUUCUUUUCCUCUUUUGUAGGUUUCUUGUUUCAGUGCAAGGAUGCAACAUAAGAAAGAUCCAUCAAGGUUCCACUUCCACCCCUGCCUUACUGUUAAGGGCUUAAGGCACAGAAGCUGAACAUUUUAAACAUAGACUCAACUGAAACCAUGAAAAAUGUGGCUCACCCAUGAAACCACAAACUAGACCCUGAUAAAAAGUUAAAGCAUCCAACGCAAAACUCAAGCUAGUAGGUGGAGAAGCCCAAAUAUCACAUUAACCAAUGUAAUAUUUCAUAUCUGAUGGAUUUAGGACUCUUUUUCUCAAAAAUCACUCAUGAAGUUGCAAGAUCCCACCAUAAAGAACACAGAUAAAGUCUCCUUUUCAGAUAAGCAACAUGAGUAGUGAACCUCAAACUCAGCAUAAGAAAGCAGAUGUCAACAGAGCUGGGGUUCUUAUUUCUUACUAAAUUCUUUUUUGACUGUUGUCAUUUCUUAUUUUCUGUAGUUGAAAUAUAACCAGACACCCAGACCUGAUGAGAAUCAACUCUCAAACCUCAUGAAGAUAUUGGAACCAUACUACAUGCAUAUGUUUCAUGCCAUACAUAUUAAAAGGUAAAAUGGAAAGUCUAUCCUUUUCCUUUUUUUGUUUUUUGGUUACUCACCAUGAUGCAAAUUCUUGGCUUGAACUUGCAGCCCCUCAAUGGAUGAAAGGAUAGAAAUUGCAGGUGUGAGUACACCCAUGGUAAUAACCAUGCUAGCACAAAACAAGACUACAAGAAGCAGAGCUGUUUUCACUUUCUUGCGUCGCUCAACAAACUUCUUGAGUGCAGAGGGAGGAGCACUUCUAUUUGAACGACCUUCACCAUGAUAUGUAGAAAGUUCCUCAUCUGCUGCUUGUUGAUUAGGAAGCAAACAAAAUUUCGCAUGCCUGCAAAGAAGUGAAUACAGUGCAAAAAUUCCUCCUUCCCCGUUAUCAUCCACACUCAACAUGAAAACAACAUACUUAAACAAAGAAAAAAACGUUAAAGUCCAAAAAAUCAAGGAAAAGGCUCCAAAAAUCGUGUCCUCAGUUUGAUAAUGGCGCAACCUCCCAGAAAAUAUACUUUUAUAAACAUAAAGAGGAGAAGUACUCAAGUCACCAAACACUAUGCCAAAACUCUGAUAUGCCAAUAGGAGGACAUGUUUUCUUGGAGUUUCAAUUUCGACCAUGGCUGCUUCUCCUCCCGUGCCUCGUCCUUGUGUGUGUGUGAUCAGAAGGAACUGAAGGGUGGUUUUUGAUAUAUCGGGGAAUUGAAAUUUGUAGACUGAAACACUGUCGUAACAAACUGAUCCAAAUCUCGCGGGUCCUUUUUCGCGUACCGUUUGUGUUUUUCUGCUGAUGCUAAAGGUGGCGUCUACAAAACUGCGACUUUGCUUUAGGAUGUUCCUGAUCCGACAUGUGUGUCUGCCAGUAGUCACUCGGGGAGGGCAGCGGCUAAUCACGGAAAUUAU
Molecule: unclassified non-coding RNA, 1817 nt
Filed under: Hevea brasiliensis (rubber tree)
Lineage: Eukaryota; Viridiplantae; Streptophyta; Magnoliopsida; Malpighiales; Euphorbiaceae
Source: RNAcentral